Long non-coding RNA from Cervus elaphus (red deer), 1579 nucleotides. RefSeq lists it as uncharacterized. The transcript has 3 exons. The record is from RefSeq and is a predicted model, not a curated record. Lineage: Eukaryota; Metazoa; Chordata; Mammalia; Artiodactyla; Cervidae.
GGCUGGUCCCCUUCCGUCCAGGACGGACCAGGCGGGCGAGGGGCGAGGAGGACAGGGCAGCCGGGCAGGGUAUCCACCGCCCUGCCCAGUCCCGCCGUCUCCAUGGCGACGGCUACCUCACCGCGGAGGCGGGGAGAGCUGCAGGUGAUCUCUGGGAGUCUUGCUUCUCAGACCAGCAUCAGCACCACUUGGGAGCUUGUAGGAAAUAAAGAAUCCCAGGCCCCACACAGACCUUCUCAAUCAGAAUCUGCAGCGUAAUAAGGUCUCCCAGAAAUUCGGAUAUGUGGGAAAGCUUGAGAAGCACUUCUGGGCCGUCACCACCCAGAAAGAGCACACCUCAGGGACGAGUUAAUGUGUGUCAAAGUGCUGUGUAAGCCGUAAAGCACAGUGUAAAUGCCAAAUGGAUUCCUCCGGGACAGAAGUGAGAGAAGCCUGGAGAAGAGGAGAAGCAGGGCUGUGAGAAGGCAGACGGGAGGCUGCUGCGGGGAAGCAGAAUUCUCUCUGGUUGCUCAACUGGGUAGCUGAAGCAAGAUGGAAAAGCUUCCCUGAGUGGAGCCCCAGGAUCAGCCCCUGGAAGCUCUAACUUGCCAGAGCCCCCAUCAGGCACCAAAAGCAGGGUAGCCCGCGUGAGUCCUCCCGGAAUAACCGAGCCCUCCCGAUAUUUACCACGAGGGGGCGCUGCUCCCCAGCCUACGUCCCACUGGACCCCACCUGCUCUCAAGAAAUUAGGCCUUGGAAGGAGUCCUGAUGAGCAAGCUCCAGGGGCUUUGAGAAGUGGAAAAGGAAGUCAGGCAGGAUGGAGGGAGCCUACCGAACAGCUCUCGUUCCCACUUUACAGAUGAGGAAUCUGAGGUCCAGAGAUGUCGGAUCAGAUCCCCCAAACCAGGAAGUUAGGGAGAGGCCGGGUCUGGGUCAUUUGAUUCCAACCUCAGUUCCCAAGGAGACCACAAGUGGCUGCCAGCUCCUCUGACCCUGUCCUGUCGCUGGUGCGCCUGCUUCUACUCACCCUGUAUUCUGGGAGGUGGCUGGAACUCCCAGCACAACUGUAUUCCCACAAUUCCAACAGCCAGACCUCAGAAAGGUAGCCCUGUUCCUAAACUUUUUGAGGUGGUGGGCUCCCUUCCCUCCGGGCUUCAAGAAGCCCCACCUGCCACCCCAACCUAGCAGCCUCCCCACUCAGGCGGACCCUGAGGUCUCUUCUCCAGAAUCUGGCUCUGGGCCCCCCAAAAUCAUGUCCUCUUCCACGUCCCCUCCCCACCCCAGGGACCCCCCCAUGGGUUCUCGUUUGCACCCUGGCGCCCCACUGCAGGCAGAAGCACCAACAAGGGGACGUUUGAGCCUGUGGCUGGGGCCAAACCAGGCACCAAGGUUUUUUUUCCUCCGCUCCCACCAACUCCUUUUAUGGUCUCUGGGUCCAGUUCCUUCUUCAUAAUAAGUCGUAACUGGAAAGGCCUCAGAAGUCACUGAGCCCGACUCCAGCCAACACUUUCCUUUUCUAAAGAGAAAAAAAAAAUCUUUAGCCUCCAAGCGUGUUCCUAAGACCAGGACCGGCAGGCGGCGUCCUGAACGGGAGGGAAAC